This 364-nucleotide long non-coding RNA is filed under the name Phaseolus vulgaris (common bean). RNAcentral describes it as "long non-coding RNA (PVUL_LNC003131)". Lineage: Eukaryota; Viridiplantae; Streptophyta; Magnoliopsida; Fabales; Fabaceae. The record is from RNAcentral.
CUAGGCCAAUUCAAGACUCCUAGAUGCACUAACAACCCUGUCCUCGUCAAAAUUCUUAGUGCAUGCACCAUUAAAACAUUUCGCAGCACUGCUUAUAGUUCAACCCAUUCAUGAUAUGCGUCAUUGUUCUUUUCUUCAUGCACAUCUAUCAUUUUUAAAUAUUCUACUCAAUAUCCAUUUUUUUUUUCUUUUAUGUAACAUUAUAUUAUCUAUAUUUUUCUCAAAAUCUAAUGGUUUGUUUGUUUUUAUGGAUGUACUCUUCACAAGUAAAGAUGUGAGAGUAUAUCCCUUAUUUGAAUUCAUGGUUUUGCGGAGAAGAGAAGAGAUGAUAUAAGACUUUAAAAAACGAAAAAAAUUGAUUUGC